ACGGACAAAGUUCAAGUCCCAAAUUCAGGCUGGUGGCAGCCUAGCCCAGCACCAGGAGCCCUUGUUUGACACCCAAACAAACCAGUUGAACUUGCAGGGUGGACAGAAGCUCCCUCCCUGCUUCCUCCCGUGGGCAGCUGAGCCCUCCACUCCCCUCUUCCUUGGGCCUGGCUGCCUUUCUCUCCCUCUCCUGCAAACGUCUGCUCAUCCCUAGGAGGACCCUGUGUACCCUGGGCCUCCUCAUGGAGCCUCUCGCCAGCAUUGACAGAAGAAGCCCUGUCCAGUCCCUGGGCCUCGCUAGCCCCAGGGUCCCAGAGCUCAGCCUCUCUGGCCUCUGGUGUCUUGUGUCGGCGGCUCUCGUUGGUCUCUGAGGCUUUCCCUUCUCUUUUCUGUCUGUGUGGCUCGCUGGGCUGUGGUCUCCCUUUGGCUGGGGAUCAGGACCAUGGUGCUAGGCAGAGCCUGCUCCAGGAUGACUCCAUGGCGGAGGACUCCCUGGUGAGCAUGCUUGGGGAGGCCGAGGCUGAGACCGGAGGGCACCAAGACCAGCAACGGCCAGGAGUGAAGGAGAUGAUGAUCUAUGUCGUUGGAGCGCCUGGAAAAUGGAGGAGAUUACUUGGGG
Ictidomys tridecemlineatus (thirteen-lined ground squirrel) is the source of this 619-nucleotide long non-coding RNA. RefSeq lists it as uncharacterized. Lineage: Eukaryota; Metazoa; Chordata; Mammalia; Rodentia; Sciuridae. The record is from RefSeq and is a predicted model, not a curated record.